Molecule: long non-coding RNA, 1403 nt
Organism: Astatotilapia calliptera (eastern happy)
Lineage: Eukaryota; Metazoa; Chordata; Actinopteri; Cichliformes; Cichlidae
Source: Ensembl
AGUACUUUUGUUUAUUUAAAAUCUAUGACUACCUCCACCAUUGUUGAAGAAAUUCUAUACCUUGUGUUGUAUUUCUUUUUGGUGUUUUUGCUCCCAUACCAAUGAUUAAAAGAAUAUUGUCACAGUCCUGGGUCGGUGACCCACUGUAUUGUGUUCUGUGUUAUUAUUAAUAUUUGAGUUCAUCAUGGUUUAUCAUUACUAGUCUUUUGGCUUAUAGUUCUGUAUUUCUCUCAUUCUUCUUUGCUUUGUGAUUUAUAGUUCUUGGGUUUUGUUCCUUUGCCCCUCAUGUAGGUUUAGUUAGUAUAGGUUUAGUUCUGUCUUCAUGUUUAUUUUCUUGCUGCACCAGUCAGUCGUGUCUCAUGUCGUAAUUUGUUACUCCUGUCCCUGUGCUCCGUGUUCCCUCUGUUCAGUGUCUCGUCAGCGCCUGUCGUGUGUUUCCUGUUUUAUUUUGAUAGGCCCUGUCCUGUAUGCAGUGUGUCUGGUUGUGCUUCCCCUUGUCUCUUUAGGUCUGAUUUGUCCCAGCUGUGUUACCGCCUGUUCCCCAUCCUCUUGUUGUCCUGCUUGUGUAUUUAAACACUGUGUUUCUCUCUGUUAGUUGUAGUUGUUUCUCUCCGUGCUGUGCUUUCACCCUUCGUGGUCCUGGCUUAAUUCUAGUUCAAAGUUCCUGUUCUGGUUUGUUUUCCUUGUGUUUCUUAGUUGUUAGCUUCUAGUUUUCAUUUUUGAGGUUUUGGUUUUGUUUGUUUUUUUGUGUUUUUUUUUAUCAACUUUGUUUCUUAUAAAAAAUCUUCCCAGCAAUAAAAACGGUCGCUUUAAGUUUCAUUCCACAUAGGUAUGUCUACAGAUUCAUACCGGUCAAAUGACUGGUGGAAGUAUUGUUGAGACUUGCUAUUCACUUUGUAUCUGGAUGCAUCUGUACAUCCAGAGAGUUUCUUUAGGACAAUACAUAUUAAUCCUCUCUAUUUUGCAUUAUAAGGAGCAUAUAAGAUGAUGCACAGUUUUGGGGGACUUAUAAAUAGCUAGCAUAACCGUUUCUACGGGUUCCCAUAUUCUAAAUCGUUAUUCAUUUAUUUGCGGCUUUAUAGCACUUUGGUGCAAUAAAGCGUAUUGAAAAAAUUCACUUACAGACUUGAACUUUUUACCCACUGUGCAGUAACAUUUAAACUACUGUGUGAAUUAUGGAAUAUUAGAUGAAAAGUCUAACCUUCUGAAUAUUUAAUUACACUAUGGCAAGAGAGUCUGCUCUGCACUUUAACAAUAUGCCAUGGCCUUAUGUAAUUUUGAUUGCUUGAUUACUUCUGUAACUCCGCUGGGCCACCUGUUGCUGACAAAUCUUUGAGCCCUCCAGUAACAGCCACCUGUAUCUCAGUCUGAUUUGCAGUAAUAUGGGAACAAUUUCAUUUUAG